Abrus precatorius (Indian licorice) is the source of this 161-nucleotide small nuclear RNA. RefSeq annotates it as U1 spliceosomal RNA. Lineage: Eukaryota; Viridiplantae; Streptophyta; Magnoliopsida; Fabales; Fabaceae. The transcript has a single exon. The record is from RefSeq and is a predicted model, not a curated record.
AAUCUUAAGAACACGGCGUAAAUGGGUGAUCAUGGAGGCCCAUGGUCUAGGUUAGUGAUCUCCAUUGCAAUUGGGAGUGGUGCUAACUUAAGCACUUUUCAAAUGAGGAGAGACUACGUGACAUACUUUGGUAGUGGGGUGUGCGUUCGCGUUGCCCCUUA